Molecule: ribosomal RNA, 465 nt
Filed under: Vreelandella stevensii
Lineage: Bacteria; Pseudomonadati; Pseudomonadota; Gammaproteobacteria; Oceanospirillales; Halomonadaceae
Description: partial 16S ribosomal RNA
Rfam family: Bacterial small subunit ribosomal RNA
Source: RNAcentral
CCUACGGGAGGCAGCAGUGGGGAAUAUUGGACAAUGGGGGCAACCCUGAUCCAGCCAUGCCGCGUGUGUGAAGAAGGCCCUCGGGUUGUAAAGCACUUUCAGUGAGGAAGAACGCCUGGUGGUUAAUACCCAUCAGGAAAGACAUCACUCACAGAAGAAGCACCGGCUAACUCCGUGCCAGCAGCCGCGGUAAUACGGAGGGUGCGAGCGUUAAUCGGAAUUACUGGGCGUAAAGCGCGCGUAGGUGGCUUGAUAAGCCGGUUGUGAAAGCCCCGGGCUCAACCUGGGAACGGCAUCCGGAGCUGUCAAGCUAGAGUGCAGGAGAGGAAGGUGGAAUUCCCGGUGUAGCGGUGAAAUGCGUAGAGAUCGGGAGGAAUACCAGUGGCGAAGGCGGCCUUCUGGACUGACACUGACACUGAGGUGCGAAAGCGUGGGUAGCAAACAGGAUUAGAUACCCCGGUAGUC